CUUGAGGACCACUGAUGCGUGUCAGUGCCAUUACUGAUCAUAUCCAAAUCUUUCUAAGAAAUGCUAUUUGUACGUCCAUAAAUGGAGUGUAAAUUAUAUGACUAUCCAUCUCAAAAUUUAAACAUCUUUUAUAUUUUAUAUUAAAAAAUUUGAUAAAAUUCAGUUUGCGACGGAGCCAGUGAAAUCAGUAUUUAAUUAAAGCAAUUAUUUUAAUGCUCUUUUGAAGGG
This 228-nucleotide long non-coding RNA is filed under the name Ananas comosus (pineapple). RNAcentral describes it as "long non-coding RNA (ACOM_LNC006541)". Lineage: Eukaryota; Viridiplantae; Streptophyta; Magnoliopsida; Poales; Bromeliaceae. The record is from RNAcentral.